AAAGUUUUUAUUAUGCAUUUUCAGUGUAUUAGCCACAUGACUUGGUCAUGCACACAAUACGGGGUAAUAAAUUUUUCAUUCUUUGUAUAAAAAUAUUACAUAUAUCAUAACAUUAUAAUUUCCAUUGUUAAUCAUGGGUAGUCAUGGUGAUUAUACUGUAUCAUAAUACGCCGGUUUCGAGAUACGUCCGAGUUAUUUCCCUUUGAAGAACUCUCGUACAUAGUAAGGCGCGAAACAACUUGUUUACAUGCAGGAGUGGGACGAAUAUUCAUCACUACAUAAGUAAAUGUAUUUAGUAUUCUUCCUAUACGCUGUUUCAUCACCUGAAUUCAACUGAUACACAAACUAAACUGGGUAAUCUGACGUAAUGGUCCAUCAGCCAAGCAUGAUACACGAGCCUCUGCACCACCAAGAGACUGCAAAAACAGAAUUUACAAGAUAUCACUGAUUCUUGGACUACCAAGAUGUCUUACAACUUUUAAAGAUGAGAGAGUUCCAAGGAACCCACAUCAUCUGCAUUUACAACAAUGUGCAUAAAAUUAAAGUUGCUGUAUUGGCAACUGAGGAAAGAAGAUGGUACACAUCCAUUCUGAUUUGGCCCUGGUUUUUACUGUAUUUUCAGACAGACCAUGGUACUAUUUCAUGUAGUGUACAUGAACAUGGAUCUCUAUGGCAUCAACUAUGAUGUCAUAAAUAGGUGGAUUUUCAUGCUUAUUUGUCAAUACAGCAGACAAAACAUUUUCAAAGUAUUAUACAUGUAUAUAGAAAGCACAUGCAUCACCCACCAUGGUGUAAAACAGGAAAUUGAGCUGUAGACCCAUGUUUUGUUGCAGUUUUUGGAGAUAAGAGGCAAUAAAUGCAGUCAUGCCAUACAUGAUUUUUUUUAGAUAAAUGAACAUAGAAGAGUACCGUAGUAAAUACAUUUCCAUCGCAUAUUCCCUGGAAGCUCAAAAGCCCGACAUUCUUAGGGGCUAUCAUUCGGUGUCAUUUAAAGCUAGGUACCUUGUGUUAUUAUCAGUAUACAGACGUUAUCACUUACUUACAGAAACAAGUGCCUACCGGUACAUGUGAUACACACAGAAAUUCUUCACACCUGUCAUAGUUUCGAUAAAUUAUAUUUUCUGUACUCCUGACGAGAGAUACUUCGUAGAUGAACUUCAUCUGGACCAUCUGCAAGUCGCAGAACUCUGGCCCAGGAAAACAUUCCAGCAAGGAUAAAAUCUUCACUCAAACCACCUCCACCAUGAGCCUGGAAGGGAACCAGUUAACAAUUGAUUUCUAUUGCUUUAGUGAAUAUAGAAUGUGCAAAAGAAUAACAUGAUUUUGUGCAAUUUAAAUAUGUGUUCAACUGUAUUUAUACUGGCAAAAAAAAAAAAAUAAACAUCAAUUUAUGUA
Molecule: long non-coding RNA, 1395 nt
Organism: Ostrea edulis (European flat oyster)
Lineage: Eukaryota; Metazoa; Mollusca; Bivalvia; Ostreida; Ostreidae
Exons: 2
Source: RefSeq, a predicted model, not a curated record